CCCUUAGAUGUUCUGGGCCGCACACGCGCUACACUGAAGGAGGCAGCGUGUACUCCUGGAUCGAAAGAUUUGGGUAACCCGCGAAUCUCCUUCGUGCUAGGGAUUGAGGUUUGCAAUUAUCCUUCAUGAACGAGGAAUUCCCAGUAAGUGCAAGUCAUAAGCUUGCGCUGACUACGUCCCUGCCCUUUGUACACACCGCCCGUCGCUACUACCGAUUGAAUGAUUUAGCGAGGACUUCGGACUGGGACCGAUGCGGCUUUCGGGCUGCGUCGGUAUUCUGGAAAGAUGUCCAAACUGUAUCAUUUAGAGGAAGUAAAAGUCGUANCA
RNAcentral lists this ribosomal RNA (327 nucleotides) under uncultured eukaryote. RNAcentral's name for it is "partial 18S ribosomal RNA". It matches the Rfam family "Eukaryotic small subunit ribosomal RNA", at positions 1470 to 1796 of the family's 1831-position model. The record is from RNAcentral.